AACCAGCCGGCACCAUCCGGUAAGGCUAAAUACUCCUGAGAGACCGAUAGUGAACCAGUACCGUGAGGGAAAGGUGAAAAGUACCCCGGAAGGGGAGUGAAAGAGAACUUGAAACCGUGUGCUUACAAGUAGUCAGAGCCCGUUAAUGGGUGAUGGCGUGCCUUUUGUAGAAUGAACCGGCGAGUUACGAUCUGAUGCAAGGUUAAGCAGAAAAUGUGGAGCCGUAGCGAAAGCGAGUCUGAAUAGGGCGUAUAGUAUUUGGUCGUAGACCCGAAACCAGGUGAUCUACCCAUGGUCAGGUUGAAGUUCAGGUAACACUGAAUGGAGGACCGAACCGACUUACGUUGAAAAGUGAGCGGAUGAACUGUGGGUAGCGGAGAAAUUCCAAUCGAACUUGGAGAUAGCUGGUUCUCUCCGAAAUAGCUUUAGGGCUAGCCUCAAGUGAUGAUUAUUGGAGGUAGAGCACUGUUUGGACGAGGGGCCCCUCUCGGGUUACCGAAUUCAGACAAACUCCGAAUGCCAAUUAAUUUAACUUGGGAGUCAGAACAUGGGUGAUAAGGUCCGUGUUCGAAAGGGAAACAGCCCAGACCACCAGCUAAGGUCCCAAAAUAUAUGUUAAGUGGAAAAGGAUGUGGCGUUGCCCAGACAACUAGGAUGUUGGCUUAGAAGCAGCCAUCAUUUAAAGAAAGCGUAA
This 694-nucleotide ribosomal RNA is filed under the name Goniomonas pacifica. Its description in RNAcentral is "partial Bacterial large subunit ribosomal RNA". It matches the Rfam family "Bacterial large subunit ribosomal RNA", at positions 441 to 1137 of the family's 2925-position model. Lineage: Eukaryota; Cryptophyceae; Goniomonadida; Goniomonadaceae. The record is from RNAcentral.